This 3005-nucleotide unclassified non-coding RNA is filed under the name Drosophila ananassae. Its description in RNAcentral is "GF11969". The record is from RNAcentral. Lineage: Eukaryota; Metazoa; Arthropoda; Insecta; Diptera; Drosophilidae.
AAUCAACGGUCGUGAAAAUCGAGCAAAGCUCCGUGCGAAAAUCGCAGAAAUUCGUUGAACGAAAUUGAUUUCAGACGUGUGUUGGUGCAUUUCGCUGAACGCAAUCGUAUAACCAGUAUUAAAUAAAUAAAAUAACAAAGCAUUCGCAUAGCAAGUUCCUGAAGGAUAUUCCCAGAAAUAAGAUUAAAAGAAAAAAACCGCGCGUGUGUCUACGAUUUUUGAGAGUGUGUGUGAAAAAUCCGCCCUUAACAGCAGCCAGGAAUUCCGAAUCCCGAAGCUAAGCCAAGUCAAACUUUGAAGGCAAGCACGGACACUCCGCCGGGGCACUCCGCACGUUGAUGGCUGCCACGAAAAUCAUCGAUGCACCGCGCAACGGCCACGAGAUGGCGCCACUGAACACACGGGCCCGGGGCGAUGGCACCCACGGAGUGACCAUCGUCCUUACCGCCCCGCAGCGCAACUCCGUCCAGUCGGUGGACAUACCGGGCGGUGAGCCGGAACGGGCCGCCUGGAGCGGCAAGAUGCAGUUCUUCCUCAGCAUUAUCGGCUAUUCGGUGGGCCUGGGCAAUAUCUGGAGAUUUCCGUACCUGUGCCAGCAGAAUGGCGGCGGUGCGUUUCUGAUACCCUUCAUGAUUAUGCUGAUACUGGAGGGCAUACCCCUCUUCCUCAUCGAGCUGGGCAUCGGCCAGAGAAUGCGACUGGGCGCCCUGGGGGUCUGGAACACCAUCCACCCCUGGCUGGGCGGCAUCGGCAUCUCCUCGUGCAUUGUGACGCUCUUUGUGGCCCUCUACUACAACGUGAUCAUCACGUGGGUGUUCUUCUACCUCUUCAAUAGUUUUCGGUAUCCUUUGCCAUGGUCUUCUUGCCCCACCAACGGCACCGGAUUCGAGCUGGAGGAGUGCGCCAAGUCCUCGGAGACGACGUACUUCUGGUAUCGAACCACCUUGGAUGCGGCUCCCUCGAUGGACGAGCCCGGCGGCCUGAAGUGGUGGAUUGUCCUCUGCCUGCUUCUCUCCUGGACCAUUGUCUUCUUCAUCGUGAUGAAGGGCAUCCAGAGCUCCGGCAAGGUGGUCUACUUCACCUCCCUGUUCCCCUACAUCGUGUUGACCAUCUUCUUCAUACGGGGCAUAACCCUCCGAGGAGCGGGAGCCGGGCUGAUGCACAUGUACACGCCGAAGGUGGAGAAGCUGCUGGAGCCGACAGUCUGGCUGGAUGCAGCCACCCAGGUGUUUUAUUCCUUCGGCCUGGCCUUUGGCUCCCUGAUUGCCUUCGGCAGCUACAACACGCCCAAGAACAACUGUGUGAGGGACGUGCUCCUGGUCUCCGUCUGCAAUGCCAUUACGGCCAUCUACGCCAGUGUGGUCAUCUUUGCCAUUCUCGGCUUCAAGGCCACCGUCAAUGUGGAUCGUUGUGUGGACAGCAAUACGGAGAUCCUGGUGAAGAACAAUCUGCUGGAAGUGAAUGCCACACGGCUGGUCUACGACCAAACAAUAGCCAAGUAUAACACCACGGAAAUGGCCAAGUUCCAUCUGAGCGAAUGUAGUUUAAGCCAUGAAUUAGACAAUGCUGCUGAGGGCACUGGCCUGGCCUUCAUCGUGUUCACCCAAGCCAUUGUGGAACUGCCAGGAGCUCCGUUCUGGGCCGUCCUCUUCUUCACCAUGCUGCUAUCGCUGGGACUGGGAUCACAGAUCGGCAUCCUGGAGGGCAUGCUCUGCACCCUCUUCGACAUAGACAUUAUCAAGCGGGUUAAGAAACAGCAUGUCACUGGCGUGGUAUGUCUCUUCUGCUUUAUUGUCGGUUUCAUCUUCUGCACAGGUGCCGGGGAGUACUGGCUCAAGAUGUUCGACUCGUUUGCCGGCACCAUUGGCCUGGUGGUGGUGGCCCUCAUGGAGAUGAUAGCCGUAAUCUUUAUCUACGGACAUGAGCGCUUCACUGAGGACAUCUACCAGAUGACUGGCUACAGACCAGGUCUCUACUGGCAGCUUACUUGGCGGUACAUUGGCCCUGUGAUCAUGGUCUGCAUUCUGGUCUCUUCCGUGGUCUUUAUGGUCAUCAGGAAUCCCACAUACGGAGCUUGGAAUGCUGAUUUGGGUAUGAUCGAGCAAAAGGACUAUCCCAACUGGGUGAUGAUCGUUGCCAUCUCGAUGAUCCUGGCCGGGGUCCUGCCCAUGCCCAUUGUGUUCCUCAUGCGCAGCUUCCAGUGCCUCAAGGUGGACCUGGACAUACACCAGGGCUCGAUCCGCCGCAACGAGACAACCGCCUCCACCAAGGAGAUGAUCGACAAUGACGACGAUAACAUGAGUCCGGAUAUGCCACCGCAGAACUCACUCGCGGCGACACGCUUCACAAUCGGAGACUUUGAAAAUUAGAACUAACCGAAAUCGAAACCGAAACCGAACCGAAUCGAAACCCUGGAUACCCUGAAACUAACCAGUGCAGCGCCCAAGUUUCAACAGCCAUCAAUCAGAUAAAGUCUAGGAUAACAUCAAAUAGUAGAACACACACACAUGCCACAAACAACAACAAACAUCACACAACAAACACUGGAACAUUCAGAUUAUAAUACCCAAGAUACACCUCAGAAUCGGACUAAGGACUGUGCUAAGUUGCACGCCACAUCUCAAGUAGAAACCAAGUGCUCAUGCCGCAGAUACCAAGCUACCAAGCAAUAUCUCGUACUCAAUACCACUAAGAACUAAUCAACGCACAGCAAUUUCUCGUAGUUAGCAACCAAACAACACAAGUGCUAUUUUAACCAAAAAACUGAAACUGACACCAGGAAUACUUACGGCCAUAACAAUUAGUUACAAUGGUUAAGUUUUAGGCUCAAAAGACUAGCAGAAAAUCGCUUGGUUCGUAGGGCAGGAGUUGAAUAGUGUUAGGGGCGUCGAAUUGGCUGCUGGGCGUGGCUCUAACUGCAGGACGACGACGAGGACGAUGAGAACGACUUCAGCGGCCCAGCGUUGGGCGGCCAUGUGAAGACCCAGAGCGAUUUCUCCGACGAC